AGCCUGUUUAACAAAAACACCGCCUGUUGAAUAUAUACCAGGUCCAUCCUGCCCAGUGAAAUUUUUUUAACGGCCGCGGUAUUAUGACCGUGCAAAGGUAGCAUAAUCAUUUGCCUUUUAAUUGAAGGCUAGUAUGAAAGGACACACAAGAAUAAAACUGUCUCGUUCAGGAACAUAUAAACUAAUUAUUAGGUGCAGAAGCCUAAAUAAACAUAAAGGACAAGAAGACCCUAUAGAGCUUUACUGACAAAAGUUAUCACACUCUACCCUCAGUUUGGUUGGGACAACCAAAAGACAUAAUUACCUCUUCACCGCCCUACUCUCCACCCUCACCCAUCAAUGAACUAGAACUAAGCUACCUUAGGGAUAACAGGCUAAUCCUACUAAAGAGACCACAUUGACAGUAGGGGUUGGCACCUCGAUGUUGGCUUAGUGUUAACCAUCAGGCGCAGCCGCUUGAUAGAGUUGGUUUGUUCAACCAUUAAACCACUACAUGAGCUGAGUUCAGACCGG
RNAcentral lists this ribosomal RNA (513 nucleotides) under Nicon ablepsia. Its description in RNAcentral is "Nicon sp. n. HC-2021 partial large subunit ribosomal RNA". It matches the Rfam family "Bacterial large subunit ribosomal RNA", at positions 1797 to 2619 of the family's 2925-position model. The record is from RNAcentral. Lineage: Eukaryota; Metazoa; Annelida; Polychaeta; Phyllodocida; Nereididae.